AACGUAGGAGACAAACGUUAUCCGGAGUUACUGGGCGUAAAGGGCGUGUAGGCGGUAGAGUAAGUCUGGCGUGAAAUUUUUCGGCUUAACCGGGAAAGGUCGUCGGAUACUGCUUAACUAGAGGACGGUAGAGGCGUGUGGAAUUCCGGGUGUAGUGGUGAAAUGCGUAGAGAUCCGGAGGAACACCAGUGGCGAAGGCGACACGCUGGGCCGUACCUGACACUGAUGCGCGACAGCAUGGGGAGCAAACAGG
Molecule: ribosomal RNA, 253 nt
Filed under: uncultured bacterium
Lineage: Bacteria
Description: partial 16S ribosomal RNA
Rfam family: Bacterial small subunit ribosomal RNA
Source: RNAcentral